RNAcentral lists this transfer RNA (72 nucleotides) under Toxocara canis (dog roundworm). It matches the Rfam family "tRNA". Rfam says of the family: Transfer RNA (tRNA) molecules are approximately 80 nucleotides in length. The record is from Rfam by way of RNAcentral. Lineage: Eukaryota; Metazoa; Nematoda; Chromadorea; Rhabditida; Toxocaridae.
GAGGCAAUAGCUCAGUGGUAGAGCCCCCGCUUCGCGUGCGGGAAUACCCGGGUUCGGUUCCCGGCUGAUUCC